UUGGAGACAUGUAAAAUCAUCAUUGUGAGAUACCAACUAAGUUCCACUACAAAAGCAACAAGCCAGCUUUCAGGAUACAAUCGCCUAUCUUCACACCCCUAAUUUAAAUUUUAAAGACAUCCUAAACAUCAAAUUUAAGAUAUAUAAAAAAUGCAUUACUCUUAAGAGCAAAAUACCUCCUUUCAAUGAUUAACUGAUAGAUAAAGACUAUUUGAAGUACAG
RNAcentral lists this unclassified non-coding RNA (222 nucleotides) under Hevea brasiliensis (rubber tree). The record is from RNAcentral. Lineage: Eukaryota; Viridiplantae; Streptophyta; Magnoliopsida; Malpighiales; Euphorbiaceae.